Molecule: long non-coding RNA, 727 nt
Organism: Vitis riparia (riverbank grape)
Lineage: Eukaryota; Viridiplantae; Streptophyta; Magnoliopsida; Vitales; Vitaceae
Exons: 2
Source: RefSeq, a predicted model, not a curated record
GAUUUAAAUUUCACGAACCCUAAAUCCACGAUUUUUGAGCCAGGCUGAAAAAACACAACCUUUGCCUGCAAAUCAUGACCAGAUUACCAAAUAACAUCUUAUGUUUUACAUUCACGAUCUCGGAGCCCCUGAGUCCUGGGAGGUCGCUGAUUUGGACGAGAGCAUGAGCAGAUUGAUGCUCUCUUCUUCAUCCUCCAAGAAAGAUUCCUCUUCCUCUUCCUCUCUCAAUGCCUCGGUACCAGCUUCAGCUUCUGCUUCUGCUCCGGCUUUGUCGUCUUCGUCGGUUCCGGGAUGAUAUCUGAGGACUCUGUCAACCAAGUGGAUUAGUUUCUUCGGGAGGCUCUGCAGAAUCCGCGUGAGCGGCUGUCAAGAAGAGAUGCAUGACAUUCAAGAGCAAAGUACCCAUAACUCAUUGAGUGCUUGAGAAGGGAUCAAGUUAUGUUCAAGGUUUGGGAUAUGGAUCACAACUUAUGCGUUCGAGUGCAAUUGAAUUUCCUAAUGAAGAGACAAAGAAGUUGCGACAUUAGAUCAUAGAGUUAUAGAAGUUGAAGAUGACAACUACCACUCAAAGGAGUUGAAGGCAAUGAUAUAGAGUUUCAUGCCACAACAAACCAAUACUUCUUACUAACUACCACCUCAUUUUGGCUUAGCUUCCCAACCAUCACCUUCACUAUCAAGUUGACAUUAUUGUGUGGUUUACUAUUAUAUGUUAGUCAUUUUUAUUUUA